GACGAACCGUGCUAACGUUAUUCGGAAUCACUGGGCUUAAAGGGCGCGUAGGCGGGCAAGCAAGUCGAAGGUGAAAUCCCACGGCUCAACCGUGGAAGUGCCCCCGAUACUGCUUGUCUGGAGGGAGAUAGGGGCGUGCGGAACUUCCGGUGGAGCGGUGAAAUGCGUAGAUAUCGGAAGGAACACCGGUGGCGAAAGCGGCGCGCUGGAUCUCUUCUGACGCUGAGGCGCGAAAGCCAGGGGAGCAAACGGG
RNAcentral lists this ribosomal RNA (253 nucleotides) under uncultured bacterium. Its description in RNAcentral is "partial 16S ribosomal RNA". It matches the Rfam family "Bacterial small subunit ribosomal RNA", at positions 524 to 776 of the family's 1533-position model. The record is from RNAcentral.